Molecule: ribosomal RNA, 254 nt
Filed under: uncultured bacterium
Lineage: Bacteria
Description: partial 16S ribosomal RNA
Rfam family: Bacterial small subunit ribosomal RNA
Source: RNAcentral
UACGUAGGUGACAAGCGUUGUCCGGAUUUACUGGGCGUAAAGAGCGCGCAGGCGGUCGUUCAAGUCGAGUGUGAAAGCCCCCGGCUCAACUGGGGAGGGUCACUCGAUACUGAUCGACUCGAAGGCAGGAGAGGGUGGUGGAAUUCCCGGUGUAGUGGUGAAAUGCGUAGAUAUCGGGAGGAACACCAGUGGCGAAGGCGACUACCUGGCCUGUUUCUUGACGCUGAGGCGCGAAAGCUAGGGGAGCAAACGGG